This 1001-nucleotide ribosomal RNA is filed under the name Diorygma junghuhnii. RNAcentral's name for it is "LSU rRNA". It matches the Rfam family "Eukaryotic large subunit ribosomal RNA", at positions 76 to 942 of the family's 3401-position model. Lineage: Eukaryota; Fungi; Ascomycota; Lecanoromycetes; Ostropales; Graphidaceae. The record is from RNAcentral.
UGCCCCAGUAACGGCGAGUGAAGCGGCAACAGCUCAAAUUUGAAAUCUGGCCCGUUGCGGGUCCGAAUUGUAAUUUGGAGAAGGUGCCUCGGGUGCGACUGUGGCCCAAGUCCCAUGGAACUGGGCGUCACAGAGGGUGAGAAUCCCGUACGCGGCCAACGGUCCAGCCCGUGCGAGGCCCUUUCGACGAGUCGAGUUGUUUGGGAAUGCAGCUCUAAAUGGGUGGUAAACUUCAUCUAAAGCUAAAUAUCGGCUGGAGACCGAUAGCGCACAAGUAGAGUGAUCGAAAGAUGAAAAGAACUUUGAAAAGAGAGUUAAACAGUACGUGAAAUUGUUGAAAGGGAAGCGCUUGCAACCAGACUCGCGCGCGGGGUUCAGCCACCCUUCGGGGCGGUGUACUCCCCGUCCGCGGGCCAGCAUCAGUUCGGACGGUCGGACAAAGGCGCGGGGAACGUGGCUCUCUUCGGGGAGUGUUACAGCCCCGCGUGCAAUGCGGCCAGCCCGGACUGAGGAUCGCGCUCUGCUAGGAUGCUGGCGUAAUGGUUGCCAGCGACCCGUCUUGAAACACGGACCAGUAAGUGACAAUGGUUCGAGGCCCCCGGAGCAGAUUUGCUAACCCGCUGAACAGAGGAGUCGACCAAUUGGGCAAGUAUUUGGGCGCUAAAACCCAGAUGCGCAAUGAAAGUGAACGAGGUGGGAGCCUUCGGGUGCACCAUCGACCGAUCUUGAUGUCUUCGGAUGGAUUUGAGUACGAGCCUAAAUGGUCGGACCCGAAAGGCACGUUCCUGAAACUCCCCUUGGACGAAUCAAUCGCUAACUGCAGUUUUAGAUGGUGAGCUAUGCGUGAAUAGGGUGAAGCCAGAGGAAACUCUGGUGGAGGCUCGCAGCGGUUCUGACGUGCAAAUCGAUCGUCAAAUUUGCGCAUAGGGGCGAAAGGUACGUCUAAUUUUGUUUGCACGGCAAGAGUGUUCGCUAACUCGUUUGAAAGACCAAUCGAACCA